AACUAUCUAUUGGCAAUGUAAAAUACGAGAAAUGCUUACUAUCCAUUUGACGAUAUAAAAUACAAGAAAUGCAUACAAUCUAUUUGGCGAUAUAAAAUGAAAAAAAUGCGUACUAUCUAUUUGGCGAUACAAAAUAUAAGAAAUGCGUAAUGUCUAUUAAGAUGUGAGCGGAAGGAUUAUUCAUUGCUAUAAAUAAUGGUGGCGGAUGUAGUGUUUAC
Molecule: long non-coding RNA, 218 nt
Filed under: Gossypium barbadense (sea-island cotton)
Lineage: Eukaryota; Viridiplantae; Streptophyta; Magnoliopsida; Malvales; Malvaceae
Description: long non-coding RNA (GBAR_LNC010315)
Source: RNAcentral